Cygnus olor (mute swan) is the source of this 1117-nucleotide long non-coding RNA. RefSeq lists it as uncharacterized. The transcript is spliced from 2 exons. Lineage: Eukaryota; Metazoa; Chordata; Aves; Anseriformes; Anatidae. The record is from RefSeq and is a predicted model, not a curated record.
GUCACCGGCGCCGUGCGGGGGCUUCUCCUCUGCAUGUCAGUCCAACUUGCCGUGCUCGCUACGAAACCUGUGCUCUCUUUUGCAGCUGUCAGGCGCCGGGGCUGUGCCCAGGCUUCCCAGCAUCGCGGUGCGCGGCGGAGCGCUGAGCCUGUUUUCUGGGAGACGGCGAGGUUUGCACAACUGCAGCAAGAAGCCAAAUCAAAAAGCCAAUCUGCGAGCCUCCAAACUCCGUCACCCUAUCAGCUGGGAGCAAGAGCUGCAACAGAAUUACAAGCCAUGCAUAUUUAUUCUUCUGAACCCAGGGGGGGAUUUUCAGAUUGUUUAAAGGAACCACAAUGAAACCAGAGCAAACCCUUUCCAAAACAAAUACAAGCAGAGCAGCUGUCUUGCAUGUAACAUGCACACACACAUCUCUGUGAGAUCUCCAUGGGUGUAUAUAGAUGUAGGCACACACUCAUGGAGCCGCGAUCGCUCCUGCACCCUACCCUCCAAGUAUAUUGACUUGACUUUGUGCAUUUCAGCGAAGGAAGGAACACACGGUAGCUGAGCCUCAGAGCAGAAGAUAUUGACUGCAUAUUGUAAAUUCAAGGGAUCUGCCAAACACUUCUGUGAGAUUAAAUAUAGGCAAUGUAAUUACAUAGGCAGCGUUAGUCCUGGUAACCAUUUGAAGCUAUGUGCUUUGGUUUGCGCUUGCAGAAACCACCCUUUUUUUUUUUAAAAAAAAAAAAAAAAAAGUCAAAUAGUAACUUUUGAGACAGCAAGUCAUUUUAAGGCAACAAAAUACACACUGCCUCCAAAGUUGCUAUUUGACUUUGGCAGAAGAUAACUGGGGGCUGGUUUCCAUGGCCAUGGAACAGGGGAGUAGCUUUGUGCCUUACACAAGACACACAGCAGUGUUUGCACAUGGGUUUGUCUCCCCUUGCAAUUCCCCCUAUUUUUGCCAGCCGCUACCACAGCAGUUAUGGGCAGAUAUCUGCCUCCAGCAGCUUUACCUUCUAGCAUGGCUUUUCACUCCUUGGAGAGCCACAAAACCCAGGUGCUGUAAGGUAACAACCCCUGAGACAGCUGCAUGGGGCAGGGCCGUUCUGCCCAGGGGUGGGCUAUUUCAUCCUCCAGA